This is a long non-coding RNA of Triticum dicoccoides, 3260 nucleotides long. RefSeq lists it as uncharacterized. NCBI's taxonomy places the organism in Eukaryota, Viridiplantae, Streptophyta, Magnoliopsida, Poales, Poaceae. The record is from RefSeq and is a predicted model, not a curated record. The transcript is spliced from 7 exons.
UCGCGGGGCUCCUCCGCCAAGGCGCGCCUGAGGCCGACCGCAGGGCUCCUCGCGCAAGCGCACGGCCUCCGCCAAGGCCGCGCUCGGGGCUGACCAGGAGGCCAUGGUCACCAAGCGCCCGCGCAAGGGAACCACGUCGGGGAAGAAGAAGAAGGCGCCCAAGUCCGUCGCUGCUGCACGCCCUCUCUAGCCGCCUCUCAUCGUCCUCGCGCUCGGCAAAAGGAGGACGAGGACGUUGAGCGGACAUGGGCUGCCACUCCCUCCGCGGACGAGUCGGAGCCCGACGCGGCCGAGCUCGAGCGCUACGGCAUUAGCGAGGACCUCCGCGUGUUCGUCAACGACAUGACCUCCCCCUGCCUAACCCUAGCUUCUCCUCUACGCCGUCGCCUCCACCACUCGUCCUUCUCCCUCCCCUUCUUCAGCUCGUGCUGCAGCAGCUCAUCUGCGCCUCCCUCCUCCUCGCCGGAUCGCCACAGGCUGUCACCUGUGCUCAAAUCAGUGAGGGGCAGCCGGCAGUGGUGGACGAGGGGAUUGACAAACUGCAGCCGGCAGGGAGGGCCUAACCCUAGCUCCUCCUCUGCGUCGCCGCCGCCCGUCCUCCUCCUCCUUCAUCCCCUCCCCGUUGGUGGAGAGAAGGAAGUGGUGCACGCAUGGCUGCCCGACCCGACCACUGCUCCUCCUCGCUCGAGAUUGAAGACGCCCUCGGCCACCCUUCUCUGCCGCCGAUUCCAGUGAGAGCACCGUCGAUCUUUCCUUAGCCUGGAUGUGAUGGCCACUGCCAUGUUUGAAGCUGGUUGAGGUCGUUUCGCCUUCUUGAUAUUCAAUUAUAGAGCAAUGCACUGCUAGCAUCUUGAGACACCACAAUAUGUGAACAGUAGAUUAGGUAUGUUUGGUCUAGAAAUCUGUCCAUUGUGAUGGGUUAUCUCGCUGUAACUUCACGGCUUCAUAUAAUGUUGCUUCCAAGAUCCAAAACAUCCAGAGUCAGGUAUGACUUUUUCUUCCAGUAUUUCCAUUUCGCACUGCAUCUUUCAUUUAGAACAACUAGGCGGAAUAUAAUCGGAUCAGGGGCUGGUGGUGGUAGUCUGUAUGACACUACAAAAAAAAAAAGAUCUAUGCCAUGAUUGUACCCAAGUAGUUUUUCAGUUAACUUAGCAAAUCAAGUGAGCUGAUUGAUCAAAUUUAGUUGUUCGGACUUCCAUUGGUAAAUAGAUAAAAAUGAUCUAUGUUAAUUACUGGUCUUAAUCGUCCACCACAAGAAAAUAUCAGGUUAACAAUUACCUCAAGAAGACAUCAGAGUGGUCACUCAUUUUAGGUGGGGAUAUGCAAUCUGUGCUUUCUUUAAUCAUGUUAGAUUUUUUUUCAGGUUCUCUGAUUGUAGAAUAGUUUGGUUAUGAGCAAUAAAUUGUUCUGAUCAGUUAAUUAUUGUACCUCUGGUUACUGUUCCUCUUAGUAAGUUUUGCAUACGGUUCCUUUCCUUUGAUAUUUUUCUGCUUUAUAUUUGUCUAUGGAUACGAACAAAUAUGAUCAUGAUUGCUGCAUUGCAUAUGGUUCCUUUCCAUUGAUGAUAAAUGGCGAACAACUAUGGUAUUUUUCCGCUUAACAAUAUAAGGUUGUCUUAUGCCUAACUCGAACCCAUAUGUCACUCCAGCAUCUUUCUUUCUACUCCAUAUAUGGUUCUGGCAUGUCUCCUUUAUACCUCAGGCCAUUCAUAUCUUGUUUGUGAGAUCUGCUAAAUUUAAUGUUGCACCACACCCACACGCAAGAUAGAUUUCCAUAUAUUAUUACUUUUGACCAACAACAAGUUCAGAAUUUUUUGCUGUACUGAUUAUACCCUGAGAUUAUUUCUCCCUUACUGCUUUGGAUGCUGAAAUGUAUUUCUGACCCUAUACGAAAAUAUUUGUUUGUGUAAACAAUGCAUCACAAAGUUUCUUUUGUAGGUUUUUUUUUUUUGAUGUAUAAACAUCUUGACUAUGCAAAAGGCAAAUGUACAUGCUCCUUAUUACUUAUCAUAAACAUUUUCCUGGGAGUUCCUUUUUAUUGUUUCUCAUCUGAAAUUGGAUUCAUACUGAUGCCAUUCUUACAUCUCAUUUUGCAACAAUUAUCUUCUGAUAUUAUGAGUCUUGGGGAUUAUAAGUGCCAUUCAACUGUUCACUCUCAUGAGAAAGACGGGUUGGCACUUACUGAUGCAACAACCAAUGCAAACAGAUUCUUGCUGUUCCUUUGCCUCUCGACGUCUCUUUUAUUGAAACUGCAUUAACUGCUGUAUGCCUAAUGCUAUUUCUGCUUGUCAUGUCCUUUCUUUUCAGGUUUGAACCGUCCGUGCCUACUGUGGCCCCAACGACUAUGGGCAAGAAAGGCCUGGAAGAAGAAGAACCCUUUACUAGGAACAACGACGUCUUUUGGUGACCUAAGCCUUUUGGAAACAAGUUUUGUAAAUGGAUGGUUUUUUAUCAGUAUGGAUGUACUAGCGAUUCCUCUGCUUGAGCUCCGGCUCGCAGGCACAUAUUGCCAAAUCACUUGGUUGCUUCAGAGCGACGGUGACUGUUAUCACAACAAUGUCACUGUCCACCCAGACUGUAAGGAUACUUGGAGACAGACUGCAUUUUAGUCAGGUGCACACCUUCCAAGUGUAUAUCCUGGACUUGGUGCCUGGAGGUGAAACGAGAAUGUAAUGAUCUCCAGGUCGCUUUGCCGCCUCCUGCUCAUGGCCGUCAUCGUCCCUUUGUUGUAUUUGGAGCAUUGGCAUCUCUAGCCGAGCUGCGCAAGCAGAAAGCGGAGCAGGAGCAGCUCGGGGACGAAGCCAAGGUCUAAAAUGCCGAAUCUCCCAAUAAAGUGGAUGACAUAGUUGUGAACUAAGCAGCAAAAUGAGGCCAAGAGCAUGAUGGCGUCAUCGCUAUCACCCCCUUCAGUGUCUAGGAACCAGGCAAAACGCCAUUGACAAUGUGUGGGGCGAUGAGCGAAUGGGCGGCGGCAUUGCGCACAAUGGCAUGACGAUCAGAUCGGCGACGUGAUCGAUGCGGUGGACAAUGCCAACGAUCAGUUCAUUAUUGUCGAUCGUUGUGUGGGAUUCUAUGUCAAUCUUUUUCUGUAAACUUUUGUUUUGUUGAUUCCAAUUAUUUAAGAAAUUGUGAAAUUUUGUAUCUUGUGUAAGUAAAUGUCAGUGCCAAGGCGUCUUUUGUAUAUUUCAUGUAAUUCUCAGAAGGUUGCAAAUGAACUUAUUAAUUUGUGUUAUUCUAAACCUUGAAACUUUUGGUGCAUUA